ACAAGGUUUCCGUAGGUGAACCUGCGGAAGGAUCAUUACCGAGUGCGGGUCCUUUGGGCCCAACCUCCCAUCCGUGUCUAUUGUACCCUGUUGCUUCGGCGGGCCCGCCGCUUGUCGGCCGCCGGGGGGGCGCCUCUGCCCCCCGGGCCCGUGCCCGCCGGAGACCCCAACACGAACACUGUCUGAAAGCGUGCAGUCUGAGUUGAUUGAAUGCAAUCAGUUAAAACUUUCAACAAUGGAUCUCUUGGUUCCGGCAUCGAUGAAGAACGCAGCGAAAUGCGAUAACUAAUGUGAAUUGCAGAAUUCAGUGAAUCAUCGAGUCUUUGAACGCACAUUGCGCCCCCUGGUAUUCCGGGGGGCAUGCCUGUCCGAGCGUCAUUGCUGCCCUCAAGCCCGGCUUGUGUGUUGGGUCGCCGUCCCCCUCUCCGGGGGGACGGGCCCGAAAGGCAGCGGCGGCACCGCGUCCGAUCCUCGAGCGUAUGGGGCUUUGUCACAUGCUCUGUAGGAUUGGCCGGCGCCUGCCGACGUUUUCCAACCAUUCUUUCCAGGUUGACCUCGGAUCAGGUA
This 567-nucleotide ribosomal RNA is filed under the name Aspergillus niger. RNAcentral describes it as "eukaryotic LSU rRNA". The stretch from base 225 to 378 matches the Rfam family "5.8S ribosomal RNA". Lineage: Eukaryota; Fungi; Ascomycota; Eurotiomycetes; Eurotiales; Aspergillaceae. The record is from RNAcentral.